GAGGCGGGCGCGCACCGGCCGUUGGUCGCCCCCCCGCCCCAAGCGCGCGCCGGCCCUUGGUCUUUCCCCCAGCGCGCGCCGGCCGUUGGCCGCCCCUCAGGCCGGGCCGGCGGCUCCCGCCUCAGAGCGGCCGCCUCGCGCCCUUGCGGCGCUGCUGUGGCGACUCGGCUCUCCCCGAUCGCCGGCAUCGGGCGCUGCCUCCAUCCCGCCUGGGGCGAGGAAGGAGAUGUCGGAGCCCAGCCGGGUGCAGAAGCUGCUGUCCAGGCACUUACUGCUCUCCUGUUGGUGCAGACAUGCGCGCUUUCCUUCUGCCUUCUCCCGCUAUCCGUGCUUGCCCACGAUGUCCUGCUGCCCCAUGGACGACCACCCUUGUAUCUCGCACUCUGGUUAUUUUAACUUGCAACAAAAUGUGUUUAGGGGCUAAAGCCCUGAUUUCAGCGCCUGGUUCACCUUGGUCACUUCUCACAGGGCUGUGCUGCCAGCGACAGAGUUGACUGUAACACCAGCAAGACAAACAAUUAAAAAUAAGCGCUGUAGGCAGUAGCAAGACCUGUGACCACAGCAAGAGGAGGGAGGACUGCAGCACAUCCACAAGGAGCUUUUCAGCAGUUUGGAAAGCAUCUGCAGGGCUCCUGGAGAAUUUCCACUGCAUUACCUGCGAGGAAGAGGAACUGCACUGCAUUACCUGCGAGGAAGAGGAACUGCACUGCCCCUGCUAAUGGUGAACUUGCAUUCUCCAAAGAAUUGCUGGAGCAGGUUUGUGGCCAGCACACUUCUUAGAAGCAGCCGACUCAUGCAAAAAUAGGAUGAGGUCAUCCCUUUCCAGUGUCUGAACAUUUUAUGCUGUGCUACUGUUUUGAGCACAUCUUCUUUUCCCUUAGGUACAUGUACAUCCCUCUCCAGACAGACAUUUUUUUUUUUCCAAAUUCAACAACUUAGUCUAGAAAAAUAAAAACAGAGAUUCUUGCCAGGAAAAAAAGAUAUUAAGACUUGGUUAUUCAGCCUCUGUUUAUCUCAGUUGGAAUAACUGAUGGCUGUUUUUCUUCUGCUCUUUGGCUGUUUCCCCUUCUCCAACUAGAGUUUAAAAACUUCAUAACAAUAUUUAAACUUCAAGUAAUAGUAAUAUCUAAACAUCCUAAAUCUUGAGGUGCCACUACUUAAGAUGCUUAGUCUUCAGAAUUUCUCAGUGUGCAACUUUUGCUAGGACUAUCUUUAGGAAGGCAAUGAUACCUGUUAUGCUUAAUGUAUUGAUAAAUUUUCAUUGCUUGAGGACUAACUAAGAAGCUAUGCUCAAAUGGGCAUAAGUGUAGCAUAUAUUAAAUGCUAAAAAUACCAUUGCUAUUUUGCUAGAAGAAAACAACAAGCAUCUGAUUUUUUCUUUUGAUGGUCUUGGCUCUGUGAUUCUGAGCUGGUUUUUAAUGGUCUGAAAGAAAACUUAAAAUGAACACACAUGCAGUUUUCAAAUAACAUGCAAGUUGGAGGACAGGUCAGUUAUACAAACAUGUCUCUAAAGCUUGAUAGGGAGCAUAUGUAUAAAUAAUUUGCUUCUUAACAAAGCCAAAUAGAAUGCCAAGGAAAAAGGGUGGUGAGGAACUGGGAACUGUAUCCUGGAAAAGUGUGAUUCUGAAAUGAGCGGGGACAUGACCCAUAGCAAAUCAAGUGCAAACCCUGAGUUUGGUGUUGUAGCUGAAAUCAGAGUAGUUCAGGUCCUUCAGAGGACCUUUAACUAGAAUAAGGAGGUGUUGUUAUAAUUAUGUACAGUAUAGGGAAGUAUUUUGUCUAGAUCUGGUUUAU
Long non-coding RNA from Dromaius novaehollandiae (emu), 1794 nucleotides. RefSeq lists it as uncharacterized. NCBI's taxonomy places the organism in Eukaryota, Metazoa, Chordata, Aves, Casuariiformes, Dromaiidae. The record is from RefSeq and is a predicted model, not a curated record. The transcript has 3 exons.